UGAGUAACACGUAUCCAACCUGCCGUCUACUCUUGGGCAGCCUUCUGAAAGGAAGAUUAAUCCAGGAUGGCAUCAUGAGUUCACAUGUCCGCAUGAUUAAAGGUAUUUUCCGGUAGACGAUGGGGAUGCGUUCCAUUAGAUAGUAGGCGGGGUAACGGCCCACCUAGUCAACGAUGGAUAGGGGUUCUGAGAGGAAGGUCCCCCACAUUGGAACUGAGACACGGUCCAA
Molecule: ribosomal RNA, 229 nt
Filed under: uncultured bacterium
Lineage: Bacteria
Description: partial 16S ribosomal RNA
Rfam family: Bacterial small subunit ribosomal RNA
Source: RNAcentral